UGGCGGCGUGCCUAAUACAUGCAAGUCGUACGCUUCUUUUUCCACCGGAGCUUGCUCCACCGGAAAAAGAAGAGUGGCGAACGGGUGAGUAACACGUGGGUAACCUGCCCAUCAGAAGGGGAUAACACUUGGAAACAGGUGCUAAUACCGUAUAACAAUCGAAACCGCAUGGUUUUGAUUUGAAAGGCGCUUUCGGGUGUCGCUGAUGGAUGGACCCGCGGUGCAUUAGCUAGUUGGUGAGGUAACGGCUCACCAAGGCUACGAUGCAUAGCCGACCUGAGAGGGUGAUCGGCCACAUUGGGACUGAGACACGGCCCAAACUCCUACGGGAGGCAGCAGUAGGGAAUCUUCGGCAAUGGACGAAAGUCUGACCGAGCAAUGCCGCGUGAGUGAAGAAGGUUUUCGGAUCGUAAAACUCUGUUGUUAGAGAAGAACAAGGAUGAGAGUAACUGUUCAUCCCUUGACGGUAUCUAACCAGAAAGCCACGGCUAACUACGUGCCAGCAGCCGCGGUAAUACGUAGGUGGCAAGCGUUGUCCGGAUUUAUUGGGCGUAAAGCGAGCGCAGGCGGUUUCUUAAGUCUGAUGUGAAAGCCCCCGGCUCAACCGGGGAGGGUCAUUGGAAACUGGGAGACUUGAGUGCAGAAGAGGAGAGUGGAAUUCCAUGU
Molecule: ribosomal RNA, 666 nt
Filed under: Enterococcus durans
Lineage: Bacteria; Bacillati; Bacillota; Bacilli; Lactobacillales; Enterococcaceae
Description: bacterial SSU rRNA
Rfam family: Bacterial small subunit ribosomal RNA
Source: RNAcentral